Molecule: ribosomal RNA, 401 nt
Filed under: uncultured bacterium
Lineage: Bacteria
Description: bacterial SSU rRNA
Rfam family: Bacterial small subunit ribosomal RNA
Source: RNAcentral
CGGGAAUAUUGCGCGAUGGAGGAAACUCUGACGCAGUGACGCCGCGUAUAGGAAGAAGGUUUUCGGAUUGUAAACUAUUGUCGUUAGGGAAGAUACAAGACAGUACCUAAGGAGGAAGCUCCGGCUAACUACGUGCCAGCAGCCGCGGUAAUACGUAGGGAGCAAGCGUUAUCCGGAUUUAUUGGGUGUAAAGGGUGCGUAGACGGGACAACAAGUUAGUUGUGAAAUCCCUCGGCUUAACUGAGGAACUGCAACUAAAACUAGUGUUCUUGAGUGUUGGAGAGGAAAGUGGAAUUCCUAGUGUAGCGGUGAAAUGCGUAGAUAUUAGGAGGAACACCGGUGGCGAAGGCGACUUUCUGGACAAUAACUGACGUUGAGGCACGAAAGUGUGGGGAGCAAAC